This 345-nucleotide unclassified non-coding RNA is filed under the name soil metagenome. RNAcentral's name for it is "partial contains 5.8S ribosomal RNA, internal transcribed spacer 2, and large subunit ribosomal RNA". The stretch from base 1 to 120 matches the Rfam family "5.8S ribosomal RNA", at positions 35 to 154 of the family's 154-position model. The record is from RNAcentral.
GAUGAAGAACGUAGCGAAAUGCGAUACGUAAUGAGAAUUGCAGAAUUCAGUGAAUCAUCGAGUCUUUGAACGCACAUUGCGCCCCCUGGUAUUCCGGGGGGCAUGCCUGUCCGAGCGUCAUUGCUGCCCUCAAGCACGGCUUGUGUGUUGGGCCUCCGUCCUCCUCCCGGGGGACGGGCCCGAAAGGCAGCGGCGGCACCGCGUCCGGUCCUCGAGCGUAUGGGGCUUCGUCACCCGCUCUUGUAGGCCCGGCCGGCGCUUGCCGACACAUCAAUCUUUUUUCCAGGUUGACCUCGGAUCAGGUAGGGAUACCCGCUGAACUUAAGCAUAUCAAUAAGCGGAGGA